UUUCGUGCCCUCGCUUAUUACAGGUCCAUAAACAUUUCUCUAAGCGAAAGGAACGAAAGCGGAAGCACUAUUCUUGUUGCCGAUAUGAAAGCUAAAAUAAAUCCGAUCACGGUGGCGCUACCUGGUAUCGAUCAGCAUACACCCAUCGAAUUAGGAGAACAUAAGUUCCUCGUACUUUUUGGCAGUAGCACCUGCCUUCUCCUGGCUGAUUUGCCGAAUUCGCGUGUGUUGCAGGUACCACGCUUCUCCACAAAAUGAAGAAUAAUGGCAUAUUGGAUGCUUCCCUACUUCAUAAAAAUGAGGGUGAUUUAUAGCGUAGAUGGUGCCUCGCAAGUGUUCUUGUAUUAGUUGCCAAGGAAGCCGAUAAGGCCCUUA
Long non-coding RNA from Rhipicephalus sanguineus (brown dog tick), 375 nucleotides. RefSeq lists it as uncharacterized. The transcript is spliced from 3 exons. Lineage: Eukaryota; Metazoa; Arthropoda; Arachnida; Ixodida; Ixodidae. The record is from RefSeq and is a predicted model, not a curated record.